GUAGGUGGCAAGCGUUGUCCGGAAUUAUUGGGCGUAAAGCGCGCGCAGGUGGUUCUUUAAGUCUGAUGUGAAAGCCCCCGGCUCAACCGGGGAGGGUCAUUGGAAACUGGGGAACUUGAGUGCAGGAGAGGAAAGUGGAAUUCCACGUAUAGCGGUGAAAUGCGUAGAUAUGUGGAGGAACACCAGUGGCGAAGGCGACUUUCUGGCCUGUAACUGACACUGAGGCGCGAAAGCGUGGGGAGCAAACAGGGAUUAGAUACCCUGGUAGUCCACGCCGUAAACGAUGAGUGCUAAGUGUUGGGGGGGUUUCCCGCCCCGUCAGUGCUGCAGCUAACGCAUUAAGCACUCCGCCUGGGGAGUACGGUCGCAAGACUG
Molecule: ribosomal RNA, 375 nt
Filed under: uncultured organism
Description: partial 16S ribosomal RNA
Rfam family: Bacterial small subunit ribosomal RNA
Source: RNAcentral